This 497-nucleotide ribosomal RNA is filed under the name uncultured bacterium. Its description in RNAcentral is "partial 16S ribosomal RNA". It matches the Rfam family "Bacterial small subunit ribosomal RNA", at positions 28 to 507 of the family's 1533-position model. The record is from RNAcentral.
GAUGAACGCUGGCGGCAGGCCUAACACAUGCAAGUCGAGCGAUAAGACUAGGAGCUUGGUCCUCUGCCGGUGUCGGUGGACGGGAGAGUAACAGGUUGAUAACCGACCUAUAGGACGGGGAUAAUUUCGUGAAACCGCUGCUGUUAACGGGUAAUACAUCGUACCGCUAGUAUCAAUAGUGCAAGAAAAGUUUAGUGUGAGUUAUAGAUGGUUGCGGGCCGCGUUAGCUAGUUGGUAAGGUAACGGCUAACCAAGGCAACGAUGCGUAGCUGACCUGAGAGGAGGAUCAGCCACACUGGAACUGAGACGCGGUCCAGACUCCUACGGGAGGCAGCAGUGGGGAAUGUUCCACAAUGGGCGAAAGCCUGACCGAGCCACGCCGCGUGGCUGACGAAGGGCUUCGGUUAGUAAAUCUCUGUUGUUAGGGAAGAAGAAGAGUAUGAGGAACGAUGACUGUGUUGACGGUACCUAAUGAAUAAGCAACGGCUAACUACGUG